GACGAACGCUGGCGGCGUGCUUAACACAUGCAAGUCGAACGGAAAGGCCCUGCUUUUGUGGGGUGCUCGAGUGGCGAACGGGUGAGUAACACGUGAGUAACCUGCCCUUGACUUUGUGAUAACUUCAGGAAACUGGGGCUAAUACCGGAUAGGAGCUCCUGCUGCAUGGUGGGGGUUGGAAAGUUUCGGCUGUUGGGGAUGGACUCGCGGCUUAUCAGCUUGUUGGUGGGGUAGUGGCUUACCAAGGCUUUGACGGGUAGCCGGCCUGAGAGGGUGACCGGCCACAUUGGGACUGAGAUACGGCCCAGACUCCUACGGGAGGCAGCAGUGGGGAAUAUUGCACAAUGGGCGGAAGCCUGAUGCAGCAACGCCGCGUGCGGGAUGACGGCCUUCGGGUUGUAAACCGCUUUCGCCUGUGACGAAGCGUGAGUGACGGUAAUGGGUAAAGAAGCACCGGCUAACUACGUG
Molecule: ribosomal RNA, 468 nt
Filed under: uncultured bacterium
Lineage: Bacteria
Description: partial 16S ribosomal RNA
Rfam family: Bacterial small subunit ribosomal RNA
Source: RNAcentral